CCUGCCCGGCCGUCGUCGCCGUUCUGUUAAGCCGCUGCUAUCCCCGAGCUUGCCACUGUUGCCUUUGUUACCGAGCAAGAGGGGAGAAGUCACGCGGCAGAGGAGAGGAGGGAAGCUCACCGCGUCGCAGUCGUCGCGCCGCUGCUAGUCCACCUUGAAGCCGCCGUCGAAGCAGAGCCGUGGAGAGAGACGAGUUCGCGUAGGGAAGAGAGAAAUGCAUCCGAGAGAGAGAACGAGCACGAGAGGAAGGAGACUGCCGUUCUCAUCGCUGCAAGAGGUUCCACCGCCGUCAUUGGUAGCAACCGAAGUCACCGCCGCCUUUGCAAGCUUUUUCCCAGCUGUUUUGGUUCUUGUCCUGUUGUAACUCGCCAAUGUCCCUGCUCAUUUCUAACAUCUAUUCAGCCUUCGCCAGAUCUCGCUGUCGCCGGAGAAACACUUCCGGAACUGCUCAGAUCCGCUGUACCAUUCUUGUUGCGCUCUGAUCGAUUUGAAUCCACCGCUUUUCUUGGUGUUGUGGUCAUUGUCGUUAUAAUGGGGAGUUAAUGUUGUUGCUACUGGUGCAGUUUUGGUUGCUGCAAUUUCGAUUUCUAUGAGUUUUAAUACUAAGACGCAGUGGCUUGCCAUCACUUGCUCCAGGUUGAGACUUGAUACUCUGUUGACCCUACGACGUAAGGGUAACCGGACACGUAUAAAUUUUCGGGAAUGGUACCCCCAUUGAGUGGUUUUAUAUUUAUAUGAGAAAAAGCUAUGCAUAGACUCAUGGAGAUGCGUGUCGGGGGACACUCCAAGGGUUUAGCAAACCGGACUUGUUGGGUUGACUUGAUAACCGACAGAUGAGACUCAUUAGCCAUUGGACAGGCAUUCAUCAUACGCAUCUAUGUGACAUUGUUUGGAUGUGCAUAUUGUACUUGGUUUGCCUAUGUGAAUAAUUCUGUCUAAUUGUUAAUUGCUCUACUUGAUGUAACUGCUUGAUUGUACUUGAACAUCCCUAGUUGUGUUUGUAACAAAAAUUGGUUGAAUUUAUGGUGAAUUGGUUGUGGAUUGAUUUGUUUGGACCUAGGGCCAUGGACGAUUAUGAGAUAGGCUGAAGGCCG
Long non-coding RNA from Arachis duranensis, 1094 nucleotides. RefSeq lists it as uncharacterized. Lineage: Eukaryota; Viridiplantae; Streptophyta; Magnoliopsida; Fabales; Fabaceae. The record is from RefSeq and is a predicted model, not a curated record. The transcript has 3 exons.